Molecule: ribosomal RNA, 408 nt
Filed under: uncultured bacterium
Lineage: Bacteria
Description: partial 16S ribosomal RNA
Rfam family: Bacterial small subunit ribosomal RNA
Source: RNAcentral
GACGAACGCUGGCGGCGUGCUUAACACAUGCAAGUCGAACGAAGUGGCGAACGGGUGAGUAACGCGUAAUCAACCUGCCCUUCAGAGGGGGACAACAGUUGGAAACGACUGCUAAUACCGAAUACUGAAGGAGGGGAUUGCGUUUGAUUAGCUAGUUGGAGGGGUAAAGGACUACCAAGGCGACGAUCCUGAACUGUUCUGAGAGGAUGAUCAGUCACACUGGAACUGAGACACGGUCCAGACUCCUACGGGAGGCAGCAGUGGGGAAUAUUGGACAAUGGGCGAAAGCCUGAUCCAGCCAUGCCGCGUGUGUGAAGAAGGUCUUCGGAUUGUAAAGCACUUUAAGUUGGGAGGCGUUACCAACAGAAUAAGCACCGGCUAACUUCGUGCCAGCAGCCGCGGUAAUUC